This is a non-coding RNA of Podarcis lilfordi (Lilford's wall lizard), 73 nucleotides long. NCBI's taxonomy places the organism in Eukaryota, Metazoa, Chordata, Lepidosauria, Squamata, Lacertidae. The record is from the annotation of a GenBank genome assembly.
GCCUUGGUAGUUCAGUCAGUAGAGCGUAAGACUCUUAAUCUCAGGGUGGUGGGUUUGAGCCCCACGCUGGGCA